AUACGUAGGGUGCGAGCGUUGUCCGGAAUUACUGGGCGUAAAGAGCUCGUAGGUGGUUUGUCGCGUCGUCUGUGAAAUUCCGGGGCUUAACUCCGGGCGUGCAGGCGAUACGGGCAUAACUUGAGUACUGUAGGGGAGACUGGAAUUCCUGGUGUAGCGGUGAAAUGCGCAGAUAUCCGGAGGAACACCGGUGGCGAAGGGGGGUCUCUGGGCAGUAACUGACGCUGAGGAGCGAAAGCAUGGGUAGCGAACAGGAUUAGAUACCCUGGUAGUCCAUGCCGUAAACGGUGGGCGCUAGGUGUAGGGGUCUUCCACGACUUCUGUGCCGUAGCUAACGCAUUAAGCGCACCGCCUGGGGAGUACGGCCGCAAGGCUAAAACUCAAAGGAAUUGACGGGG
RNAcentral lists this ribosomal RNA (398 nucleotides) under uncultured bacterium. RNAcentral describes it as "partial 16S ribosomal RNA". It matches the Rfam family "Bacterial small subunit ribosomal RNA", at positions 523 to 918 of the family's 1533-position model. The record is from RNAcentral.